ACGAAUGUGCUUUAUUGUACUGCUCAAGCUUGGGGAUCAGUUGCAGGGCUUGCUCGCGGGUAAUGAGGUCACCCCAUCGUUUGAGACUGGAGAUUCCUGCGCAGCCCUCAUAGCAAGCACCAUCUGCUACAAAUUCCCGGUAAAACAAGCGGUCGGGGCUCAGCGGGUGGCUUGCAACAAGAUGGCGGACUGAAACGUAGCUGCUCUUGCGGCGCUUUAAGAAUCCACCAACCUGCAAUGGAGUGGACAUUUGGCUCAGACUCGUAGUCAUUGGAAUACGAUUAGCAUUUAGUGCUUGAAGCUUGCCGCUAGCCCGCACACGGUGUCAAGGCUGACUGUGGCUUAACAACGCGGUAAAUUCGGGAGAUUCUGG
RNAcentral lists this unclassified non-coding RNA (373 nucleotides) under uncultured bacterium. Its description in RNAcentral is "contains 16S-23S intergenic spacer region". The record is from RNAcentral.